UAGGGAAUCUUCCGCAAUGGGCGAAAGCCUGACGGAGCAACGCCGCGUGAGUGAUGAAGGUCUUAGGAUCGUAAAACUCUGUUAUUAGGGAAGAACAAACGUGUAAGUAACUGUGCACGUCUUGACGGUACCUAAUCAGAAAGCCACGGCUAACUACGUGCCAGCAGCCGCGGUAAUACGUAGGUGGCAAGCGUUAUCCGGAAUUAUUGGGCGUAAAGCGCGCGUAGGCGGUUUUUUAAGUCUGAGGUGAAAGCCCACGGCUCAACCGUGGAGGGUCAUUGGAAACUGGAAAACUUGAGUGCAGAAGAGGAAAGUGGAAUUCCAUGUGUAGCGGUGAAAUGCGCAGAGAUAUGGAGGAACACCAGUGGCGAAGGCGACUUUCUGGUCUGUAACUGACGCUGAUGUGCGAAAGCGUGGGGAUCAAACA
Molecule: ribosomal RNA, 427 nt
Filed under: uncultured bacterium
Lineage: Bacteria
Description: partial 16S ribosomal RNA
Rfam family: Bacterial small subunit ribosomal RNA
Source: RNAcentral